Molecule: ribosomal RNA, 253 nt
Filed under: uncultured bacterium
Lineage: Bacteria
Description: partial 16S ribosomal RNA
Rfam family: Bacterial small subunit ribosomal RNA
Source: RNAcentral
GACGAAGGGGGCUAGCGUUGUUCGGAAUUACUGGGCGUAAAGCGUGCGCAGGCGGUGAUGUAAGACAGAUGUGAAAUCCCCGGGCUCAACCUGGGACCUGCAUUUGUGACUGCAUCGCUAGAGUACGGUAGAGGGGGAUGGAAUUCCGCGUGUAGCAGUGAAAUGCGUAGAUAUGCGGAGGAACACCGAUGGCGAAGGCAAUCCCCUGGACCUGUACUGACGCUCAUGCACGAAAGCGUGGGGAGCAAACAGG